Gasterosteus aculeatus aculeatus (three-spined stickleback) is the source of this 304-nucleotide long non-coding RNA. The record is from Ensembl. Lineage: Eukaryota; Metazoa; Chordata; Actinopteri; Perciformes; Gasterosteidae.
GUGUGUGUGAGUGUGUCUCAGUAGUGUGUGUGAGAGUGUCUCAGUAGUGUGUGUGAGAGUGUCUCAGUAGUGUGUGUGAGUGUGUCUCAGUAGUGUGUGUGAGAGUGUCUCAGUAGUGUGUGUGAGUGUGUCUCAGUUGUGUGUGAGUGUGUCUCAGUAGUGUGUGUGAGUGUGUCUCAGUAGUGUGUGUGAGAGUGUCUCAGUAGUGUGUGUGAGUGUGUCUCAUGUCUCAGUAGUGUGUGUGAGUGUGUUUAGUGUCUCAGUAGUGUGUGUGAGUGUGUCUCAGUAGUGUGUGUGAGUGUGU